UACGAUGAAACGAAUAAGCGAUUUUUU
This 27-nucleotide non-coding RNA is filed under the name Rattus norvegicus (Norway rat). Lineage: Eukaryota; Metazoa; Chordata; Mammalia; Rodentia; Muridae. The record is from RNAcentral.